ACGAACGCUGGCGGCGUGCUUAACACAUGCAAGUCGUACGGUAAGGCCCUUUCGGGGGUACACGAGUGGCGAACGGGUGAGUAACACGUGAGUAACCUGCCCACAACUUUGGGAUAACGCUAGGAAACUGGUGCUAAUACUGGAUAUGUGCUCCUGCUGCAUGGUGGGGGUUGGAAAGCUCCGGCGGUUGUGGAUGGACUCGCGGCCUAUCAGCUUGUUGGUGGGGUAGUGGCCUACCAAGGCGGCGACGGGUAGCCGGCCUGAGAGGGUGACCGGCCACAUUGGGACUGAGAUACGGCCCAGACUCCUACGGGAGGCAGAAGUGGGGAAGAUUGCACAAUGGGCGCAAGCCUGAUGCAGCAACGCCGCGUGCGGGAUGACGGCCUUCGGGUUGUAAACCGCUUUCAGCAGGGACGAAGCUUUUUGUGACGGUACCUGCAGAAGAAGCACCGGCUAACUACGUG
RNAcentral lists this ribosomal RNA (464 nucleotides) under uncultured bacterium. RNAcentral's name for it is "partial 16S ribosomal RNA". It matches the Rfam family "Bacterial small subunit ribosomal RNA", at positions 29 to 507 of the family's 1533-position model. The record is from RNAcentral.